UUUUUUUUUUUCUCUCGGCUGAAAGGCGCCCCCUGGGUCCUAAGCCUCCUAUGCCAGGCUCAUCACUCUACCCUGAGUCACGAGAGGAACUCAGCCAAGCGAAGAGAGGCAGAAAAGUUCAGGUUGUGCUUAGCAGUGGUUCAGCUCGAGACCUGCACUGUCUGCAUCCCUGGGGCCUUUCAUCUCUUCUGUUUCCAUUUGUCACAACUUCCCAGAAAGUGGGCUGUGGCAGAAUGCAUCUCGCCUGACUCCAGCCAGCUGCAGGUGUCUGGAAGAGGGUUGAAGAUGGUCAGAUGCUAAGGGCAGAGCCCCUCUUCUUCUCUCCAACCCCAAGCCCCAAGUGCCAGGGUAAGAAAGCUGAGAUUCAGAAGGGUUCUGCACAAGAGAGCCAAUUUUUGGAUGCUGCCACGCAGAGAGAGACAACAGCCAGCCAGUCUUGAAGAGCAGCAGCCAACCAACAGAGAGACGGCCACUUCUCCAUGGCCUCCCGGUCCCUGUCCACAGCCCUGCCGCAGACGGGAGCAGGGGGGUAGUGGCAGAGGACAGACCACCUUCUGCCACCCUCCACUCAGGCCACCAGGGCCAUGGCCACGUCUAGCUUCCCUGGGAGUGGAGGCCGAGAGCUUUGAAGGAGAGCUUGACCUGGACAUUUUUAAGUACCAGCCUGUGUAAUCCUCACAGCAGCUGCGAGAAUAAGAGCUGCACCUGCCAGAGGCCACCCGGUUAGAAAGAGGUGGUGCUGGGAUCUGCAUCCACUGGCCAUCUCUGGAGACCACCAUGAGCCAGGGCCCCUGGUGACGGCCCAGGGAAGGGGCAGGUGCGGCGCCUUGGAAGGUCGGAGGAGGGCAGAGGCAAAGAAGGCCAUGGAAACGCAUUUCUCAGCGGUCCCCGGUGGCCGUUUCUGCCGGGACGCAGCAUCUGCCUCACUUGCCCUCAGGCCCCAAGGGCUGCUGGUCGACCUCGGGAUCUACCAGAGAUGAUGCAAACGCCGACUGAACAAUCUGAAACCCAAAGGACUCGAGGAGAGACAUGUUCUGCUGGGGAGAGAAAGGCGAGCCAAGGGCAGGGCCCAGGUCCCCCAGGGGACCCCCGAGGGCCCGGACAUGCACCUUCUGGAUGUGUUUGUUCAAGUAGGACUUGGAGCGGAAGAAGCUCCCGCACUCGGGGCAGGGGUACUUCUUCUCCCCGUCAGACUCCAUUUUGUUUUUGGGGACCGCCAUGUCACAGGAGAAGGAUCCAUUGGUGCUCUGUUUCUCGGGCGUCUUCAGGUCGCUGGCAUCCGAGAGGUCGCCGUAGGAGUCGGAGCUCUCAAUCGGAUCCUGAUGUGAGCAUUUCUGGCCUUCUAGGAGGAAACAGAACACAGAGGAGCGGUGAGGCCAGGCUAUGGGGAUGCCCCCUCGGAGGGGUCGCCAGGGGCCAGCUCACAGGCUCGUGGAGGGCAGCCGAUGGCCAGCCACCGCCCAGCAGAACCCACAGAGGUUCAGCUGGUCAGUCAGGGAGCCUGGCGUGCCUACAGGGGUGAGACAGCAGGGCCUGGGGCUGCCAGCCUCCCUCGCCGCGGACUCUUCAUGCAGGCGCACGUGUACCGCUCACCACCAUCUUGGCCUGCUUCAAGGAAGGCUGUGGAGAGGGGACCUCCUCUGUCUCCACCCAGGACAACCCAAGACCCCCAGCUCCUAGGCGCUCUCUUGGGUGCCUCUGAGGGUAAAACAGCUGUUGUGAUGAUGCUGAGCAGGUACGUCAGUGGCCUCACCUCUGCAGCAGACUGGCUGAACCCUAGCAAGGCAGAACCAGAGCCGCGGGCUCCUCAACCCAGGCAGACCCUAUCGACGGCUGAGUCAGAGCCAGUCCUUUUCCCAACGCUGCAAACACAAGCCCUGCCCUCACUGCCUCUGCCUGCCAGAAGCCUUCCAGGCCAAGUUGCCAAAGCACACAGCUUAGAAGGAACUAAACAACUCAAUCGGCCAGCUGUCCCUACACAGGGCCCAGAACAAGCUGGUCCUCGAGACAGCCCUCACUGAUCUGCCUUGCCCGGCCCACACGUGAAUCCUCCACAAUGAGCUCCUUCCUGCCUGGGUUCAGAGCGCCAUGCCGGGAAGGGAAGUCGGUGAUGGGAGCGUGGAGCAUGCCAUCUCUGCCAUCUGCCAAGCCCCUGGCGUCAUCCCCAAGGCAACAACAACUUGAAAAACCACACAACAACCCGAAUCACCAAGUGGAGGUGGGGCCUAGGGAGCUCUACGCAAACCAACUCGGAGUCGGCACCAUGCAUCUCACAAACGCGGCCAGAGGCUCUCCGGAAAGGACUGGUCACAGCAACCAACCACCCCUACCGAGGGGGAAGCCAGACCUUGGCUCCCCCUGCCCACAGGGUCAAAGGAGAAGAAAGCAUUCAGCCACAGCUCCACGCCAUCCUUAAAGGGCCACAGGCAAUGGACAGGCCCAGAGGCUCAUCAUGCAGGGCUCCUCUUCCUGCCCUGGGCCCGGGUCGUCCCUGCAGGGCUCUGGACGUGGGGGCUGGCCAGGAGCGAGGCGGGUGCUGGGGAAGAGGAGGCGGGGGCUGGAUCUCGGCAGGGCCCUAAAGCCUCACUCACCGCCCUGGAGUGAGAUUCCCCACUGUGACUUUUGUCCUGGAGGCCACUGCCACUCAGAUCUCGAGCCUCCUUGAGGCGGCCAGCAAGCCGGCAGCCUUCACGCCUCCCCACGCCCGGCCCAGCGCCCCCACAACACAGCCUGCGCAGAGAAGCAAAGUGCAGAGCAAGGGGUCGCUUGCCUUUGUUGCCAUAGGUCCUGGCGCAGUGGAACGCUGCUCCCCCAUUCGGGAUGGGCUCCUGGUGCCUGGAGACCUGGGGAAGGGGAACACCGUGGUGGGUUUUAACAUGGACCUUUAAGUAGGAGGCAGAGGAGAAACCUAAACAAGACAAAAGGAGAUGAGAUCCCGCAGCCGGCACACAGACACCUCUCUGCUUCCCCCACGCCUCUCCUCUGGCCGCACUGGCUAGCACUCCUAGAAGGGGCCCCUCCUUGGCUCAAAGGCGCUGCAACCACAGGAGCCACCUGGCUCAGGAGGGAGGGUGGCACUGUCCUCGAGUCGGCUUCUCUGCAGAGCCCGCUCUGCAAGGCUGUGGAGGCUGCCUGGAGGGAUGGCCUGAGAUCCCACUCCAGCCAGGGCCAGAGGCCAACUGCCUCGGUUCACUUGGCACCUCAGUAACAAGUGGUCUGAACGGAUGGUCCACAGCCCCAGACCAGCUGCAGGGACCACGGCUAGAAACGCUGUCAGGAAAGUACAUGGGGCUCCAGGGCAGCCACGGGACUCCAGCCAGCAGAACGCCGCUGAACACGUGUGAAGGCAAACCAUCUGCGCAAGAAGCCAGACAGAGGCAAGAUGAAAUCCCAAAGAAAUGCCUCCGGGAGUCCCCCUUCUUCUACCUGUUAAGACAUGCUCUAUUUUGCAAACUUUCUCACCUUUAGAAUAACUGGGUUUAGUAACUGUUUAGACCUUUUGAAGAACAAUGAAAAUAGGAAGUUAUGUUAAAGGGGGUGUGCAGUCAUCUCUUAUUCACAGUGGUCUUCUUGGUUCGGUUUUGGAGGAUCCAACAGGUUCACUUAAGGGAGAAGAAAUAGGCACAAUCCUUGUCUUUAUUUUGGGGGAGGGGCAAUCCAACCUUCUGGGAUCUGCUCCAGACCCACCCAGAUGCUCCAGUCAGUUUGAGCCUCGAGAUGCCUCAGGCUGGGAAGAGUGAUCUCGGGCCAAUUUCCACAGCAGCCAUGAGCCCGAGGAGAUGGAACCAGGUGGGCCAGUCAAAGGAUUUCCACUUGGGUUUCCGCAGGAAGGAGCUGGGACAUCAAAUCCUCCCAUACUCAAGGAUCCAAAAGUGCCUUCGGCAGGAACCAAAACUUUUCGGCAAAAGGCCCACUUGGGGUGCUAUGCCUAGAUGGUGUUCCUUUAGUCCACUCCAGACGCAGCUGACACAUCCUCGGGUACUUUCAUUCCCUCGUUAAAUUACAGUCACGGGGUAGCAGUGGGAUCCACUACUAAUGGGCCAGAGGCUGGAGAGUACUGUGUAAUGUCUGCACAAGACUUGUUUGAAAAAAGUCUGAAUUGGCCUGGGCUUUCGAAUGCUACGGGAACUACAAUAAAGGUCACCUUCAGCGAGUGACAGAGGUGUGCAGGCCCAGCGCACCGCGUGCAUCGCUCUGUGCUUUGCAGCCACAUGUACAGCUGCUAAAUGGCACAGCCUGGACUCUAGCCCAGGACCAUGUGCCACCAUGUGGUCCUUCACCACUGGGCAGACUCUCUAAUAGUCUCUGUGUCUUGGUCCUGGCCCUAGAAACAUCCCUUCAACUUUUGCAGUAGGCUCCAUUAUCACCAUUUACAUUCCUGUAUCUCUCUGCCAUGUUGGUGGAUUAGAAUGAAAGCUGCUGGUAGACAGGCUGACCUGUGGGAAUCUUAUUCAACAAAUAUCCCCCUGAUGGUAGCAGCUGGUGGUUCUGGAGGGAAAUGGAGGGCUGGGUGAAUCUUCCUUCCUUUCCUGACAAAGAAGACCCUCCUGGACCAGAUGCUGCUGUCCUGCCCUGCCUGGUAGAGCACGAUGUCCUGCGCUGUGACCAAGUGGUCUGCCUGGGGCCAAGCAGGGGACAGACUGACAUACAAGGGUCCCAUAUAAACACUCCUCGGAGGGAGGCUGUGGUCAGGAAGGAGCAGAUGAGACUCACAGGACAGAGGAUCUCAGCCCUGCCCCAUGGAUGGCGCUGCGGCCCUGGCAACCAACAGAAAUAUCAGGACUUUCCGACUGAUGCGAUGAUACCACUUUAGAAGGGAAUUUUUUUGUGUUUUAAUCCCUUGCGGGGCCCUCUGAAGUGGUUUGAAGCUCUCUGCACAGUGCACCAGGGCAGGGCCACUGCAAUCAAGAGGGACGGGAAAGGAGGGAAGGAGCACCAGGAACUAUUAUAUUUACUCCUUGAGGGAAAAGCUAUGCUGGGGAACACAGCAGAUGCUCAAUGAAAACUCACUGUUUUCUCCCGAAAAACGGUCUGGGGACCACGUGGCAGGGUCCCCUUGACGCUGCCCCAGCUGCAGACUACUUACUAUCUAUAGCAAAACCACAUGGCGGGUGGUAGGCGUGGAUCCACAGUUGCCACCUAAAGCCCAGAAUUUAAACACAGAGCAGCUCAGCAGCCAAGUUUUGGGGUAAAACAGAAGCCGAGUUUCUGUGAAUGUAUCUCUGAAGCCAGACACAUUUGGCCGGAAUUCUAAAGUCACCUGCCCGUUCACCACUGAUUAACCAAGAACCAAAGAGGAAGCUUGAUACAAGCAUCAGAGUGAUGGGGACACUGAGCACACACGUGACUCCACCACCACCGACAGGCCACCCUCUCUCGCGCUCCAGAUACGGAGAAUAUGCUACCACGAGGCGACUGCUCCUCCACUGCAUUUUCUUGCCUGGUGUGCUGUAAUUCGCACUCUGGAAGCAAACCCUCCUUGGCAGCUUCCACAUCUGUGCAGGGGUCAGGGACGGCUUUCUUCUUGUCCACACCUUGGUGGGGCUGUGCCCAACUGAGCCGUGCUGGAGGGGGGGCACCAAGUAGGCUUGGUCAGCUCAGUCCAGGGGACGGCAGGCUGUCUGCGUCUACCACUGGCGCUUGCCUCUGGCUGGAAAGAAGGCUUUCUCUACCCUUUAAGCAGAUAUUUGAGUUCAAGUGUUGUCUCGCUCAAAGACAGAAUCCCAAUACGCUUUCCCGCUCCCUCCCUCAUACACAUCUACACAAAGACCCGGGCUACAGAAACUUAAAAAAGAAGGGAAAUCGUGGCAAUCUACCAGGUCUUUCCCACUGUUCAACUCAACUGAUUUCCUCAACUUGAACGUGAGGAAACAGGCUUUUGUUGCCAUCAUACUCCUCCCACUGCAAGUUAUCUUCUCUGCAGAUGGGAUGGUCUACGUCCUGAUAUGUCUCCAGGACAAAGACAAGGUCAUCUGUCUCCAGUGUGGGGCUGGGCCACCGGCUGCAUCUCCCCUCCCCCAUUCUUCACAGGCAAGAGUUGUUCGUGUGGUUGAAAGUAGGCAGAUGGAUGGGUGGUUAAGCUGAUUGCUUAAGAAUUGCUGGGACUGGAGGAUCUCAGGGCACCUGGAUAUUCACCUGAUCCGGCCUCACCUGCUAACCGGCUGGCUGAACGUUAGCCUUUGCUUGAACCCUUGUAGAGAGAACAUCCAUUUAUUCCUGCAGCUCCUUCUGUAGUCACAGCCUUGAAAGGACGGCCCAGAGCUCCCUGCAUUCUGAUUCCAGUGUCUCAGUGUCUUGGCGGCCUAUCCUCUUCCUGGAAAAACUGCCUUCCCCUUCCUCUUCUUUUUUUGGAGGGGAAGGGAGGUGUCUUUUCCCAUUUCUGCCGAAGAAAUGAGUCCAGAGGUAGAAUCCUGCUCCUUCUCUUCUGAUGAAGACGAAAGUUGUUUUCUCUUCCUUCUGAGGAUCCAGGGUGGUUUAGACUAGAGCCCUCUUCUGUCUUCUUGGAAGAAUGGGACUUCCUGCUCCGACUCUGGAACCCAAAGCUGGGUUUUUCUGUUUUGGCUUUUGGGUUUGUUUUUUUUUUGGCCAUGCUACGCAGCUUGUGGGAUCCUCCUUCCCUGACCAGGGACUGAACCCAGGCCCUCGGCAGCGAGAGCGCGGAGUCCUAACCACUGGACUGCCAGGGAAUUCCCCCAAAGCUGUUUUGCUUACGACCCAGAUCUAGCGUUGGCUUUUCUGAGGAAAGGUGGGCUCUGGUUUUACUCUCCAGGCACCCCCACCCCGGCCACGUGGCCUGUGGCUGCUGCCCAAGUCCCCUUUACCAGCCCAGGGAAAACAAAUCCUGACGUACAAUAGUUGUUGGCUUUGCCACAUCAGCUGUCUCCUAACUGGGUCGACUUUCCCUGCUAUUCCCGGCUGCUCGCAGCUUUUCUUUCCUCCUGAGCGGGGCCCACAGGGGCUGUGGCCCUGGGUCCCCCACUCAGCUCCCCGCCACUUUGUAAUCCAGGCUUUAUCUCAGUUUCCUCAUUGGCAUCCUCCUCCGCCCUAACUGGUUUACUGCCUCUGGUCUCUGACCCCAACUCUCAGGCUGAGAACUUCAACCUUGAAACCCCGACAGAACACCCGCUGACAGCACCGUUGCAGCAGGUCUCGAGUUAGUUGGGGGCGCGGUCAGGAAGCCACGGGAUGAAGCGAGACAAGGAACCAUCUCUUCCUAGAGCUGGGCAGCCACAGCCUGAUGGCUCUCUCCACACACAGCCCCACUGCUAGCUCCCCGGAGGAAGCUCCUGCCAGAAAGGGCUCUAUUGACAUAUCAGAGAAUAGGACAGAUGCUUAAGCAGCUUUUCUGACCACCUCCCUGCUUCCACAGCAGGUUUCCUGGUGGUACAAACGUUGACAUCGAAUGGCCUUCAAGGCAAACCCCAGGUGUGCAGUCCCCGGGAGGAACCCAGCUCAGGGCACCAAGAGAACACCCAGCCACUCAGCAGGCUCCCUCCACCAGCAACCUCAGGGCAUGUGGAGAUAGCACAGGACUCAAAGUUUCCAGCCAAGGACUGCAGGGGGCUUGCACCUGGUCCAAAUCAGAGUGUCAGCGAGCUGUGUCUUUCCUGACAGUUACGAAGUGUAAGGAGGGCCUCCCAAGUGUGCUGCUGCCUGCAGGGUUCAGAGAACUGUCACCUACCUUGUCUCCCGGGAUCCUCACAGCAACCCUGUGAGGUGGGCAAGGGGGAUGUUCUCAACCCCGUUUAGAGGUGAAGAGACUGAGCCUUCGAGAGGGGAAGGGAGAGUUCAAGGUCACACAGGAGGGUGAGGUGGGAGGGGCCAGCUAAACCCUGGGUCCCCUGCCUCCUGGCUUAGUGCUCAGUCCACUAAGCUACACUCAAGACUUCCAGAAGUGUUGCAACAAGAGUGUCCCAGGAGAUAGGACUCUCCAGCCACGUCCCCACCUGGCCAAAGCAAGCGCACCAUGCAGAAGCAUCCUCACGCUCACCAGACAGCUGCCCCAACUCCUUCAGCAUGUAAGGCGCAGCCUCCUCCACUGACGCUGCUUGCAAAACACGAACCUCAGCCCUUCCAGCAGCCAACGAGCCCUGGCAGAAGCUCAGGGACAGGCCAGACUUCAUCCAACACAACACCAGGGCCACAGAUGCCACCUAGGCCAACCUCGGCCACAAGCACGCUGCCCUGCUCAGAGCACCUGCCACUUUCCGCUCUCGUCAAGGCCACAAUCUACCUGGGCCUGGGCUCUUCUGACCAUUUGUGCUAGAAAGUUUCAGCCCUUGUCCAUCUCCAGACUCGACGUCCUUACCUGGCUGCUGACUUUCACGUGCCAGUGGAUCAGCCAGCAAAGCACUUGAGCAGGACCCCUCAUUCUCCCACCUUUUGGGGCCUAAUGACUCCCACCAACCUCAGUAGUUCAGCGCAUCCAUCCUGCCCCCUGGGCAGCAGGUGUGUCAUGGGCCCAAGCUUGGGAACAACACUCUGCUGUUCCCACUUGCUGAGCUCCUGGCAACUCCCGUUCCAAGCACCCCAGGUUUCUUGGAAAGGAAAGGGUGACAAACAGCUAGCUGGGGGAUAAGGUGUUUAUCGCUCAGUGGGAAGGGAGGGAGGGCUGGCCGUGCAGAGUGGAGCCUGAGGCAGGGUGGUCAGACACCCCUCGGCCUCCCACACGGGCUCAGGCCCAUCCCCUGGACAUGAGGAAAUAGCAGGGAGAUUACCUCGGUUACAGAUACUGCAGAAGUUGCUGGGCCCCUCGCUGUGCUUCUUCAGGUGGUCUGCCAUGUACGCCGCCCUCAAGUACUUCCCGCAUACCUGGCAGGGCACCUUGUCUUCGUGACAGGCCAGGUGGGAGCGCAGACGGUCUCGGGUGGCAAAAGAAGCAUUGCAGGUCUGAGGGCAGAAAGGAAAACGGGGUGAGGUAAAAGCUGGCGUCCACACCCAACUCCCUACCAAGCACACUGUGGCACAAAGCCAUUUCCGGCCAACACAGGGACUCCCUGUAUAAAGAGAACUUGAGAAUGCGGCCAGGCUUCCUCCCCAGAUGCCAAGUAAGCCGUUCCUACCCCCCAUGGUCUUCCCCACAGGACCCCUGAGCUAGGAUCACUGGUUCCCACCGUCCCCCAACAUGCACAUUACAUGGCAGGCUGAGUUCUGCAAAACAAAAGAGCUAGGGGUUUUUCAUUCUUAAACAUUUAAGAACUGAUGUUAGUUGCAUUGGCUGUCAGUGAAUUUACAGAAGAGCUAUUGGCAUAUAAACGGAACAGUCUUCACCUUCUCCACCCUGGGUUUCCCCUGGUUGCUUUAUACAAAGAAUCCAAUUUACUCACUUUAUUCAAAAGCGACAUUAAUCGUGGCCACAGGGAAAUGGAAAGGAAAGGCAGGACAGAACACAGAGAUUACUCUUCAUAAUAUCCGUGUGCAUUUGUAUUGAGAAAGCAGCCCAUAAAGUGACAGUGUCAAUUUUGCGAAUGUGAAAAUUAGCAAAGAAUGAGGGCCGGAGGCUCCGGGGGCAUCUGUGGAACCCCAGUGCUGGUGCCAACAAGGAUGGCACCACCCUGCACUGACCAGUGCCCCCCACCGUGCCAGGCAGGCCCCAGGCUCCACCUUCAGGGGCCUUCGUCGCAUGCACUGCAUCCUCACGGUGGCCCUCAAGGCAGGCCGUGCUCUCACCCCACCGGUCAGGAGCUGCAGUCAGUACCACACCCUGGGAAGGCAGCCCCGGGUCCACCCCCAACAUCUCUCCCCCAGCCCAGGCCUGCAUGGCUGCCCAGCUGUGGAGGUCACGGAACAUCGGGAAAGCCCUCAGGAGAGUUGAAUCUGGUGACCUUCACUAUUUUGGAUCUACGGAUGUGUCUCAGGAGUUCUAGUCAAGGUUGACUCAUUUCUUUUCUCUGUACGUGUCUGUUUACUACUUGAGAGCCACAAAAGAAAGCAACAUUCACCUUUAAUUGCAUCACAGACCGAACGUUAACCCACUGAAGACCCGCCACCCCAUUAACUGGCUAGAAUGGAGGUGUUCCUGCGGCUCCACUGAACAGAAACAGAUCCUGAGAUCCUGAGACCUUAAGUAAAUACUACGGUAGGUGGUACACCAUCUGCAGUUUGCUGAACCCGCGGAUGUGGAACCGCGGACGUGGAAGAAUCGCAUACACAGAGGGCCGACACUAAGUUGUAUGUGUAUUUUUGACUGCUCGGAGGGUUGACGCCCCUAACCUCCAUGUUGUUCAAGGGUCAAGUGUACUGCUUUCAUGUUUUAUAUAUUGAGUUUAUUCAUCUGACAAAUGAGGGAGCUAAGUUUAGAGAGUAAUUUGCACAAAGCACAGGGCUCAGCUACUAGAGAAAGCAACACCCUGCCACUGCCAGGCCAGUGCCCUACCGAUCCUCCUGGCCACCCUGGGGUAUUCCCCUCCUCCCCGAUUUACAGCCGGGCAGACAGAGGUCCUGAGAGGACUCGGGGCAGCUGGACUGAGAACCAGCCCCUGAGCAUAUGUUCUUACCACCUCCAGCCUCAGCAGAGGUAGCUUCUGGUGAAAGGUGUGGAUAGGUUUUAUCAGUGUACUUGGUAGCCAGGGCUGUCCUGAGAGAGGUGACAGGAUCUGUGCAGGGAAACAUGAGCACUUAGGUGACUCAGAAAGCACCAUGGGUGCUUGGUCUCAUGGCCACAGGUGGGCCCCCCGUCAGGAACCCUGUGACCCAAUCAUAGGCCACAGUGGGUGGAAAACUGAAUCUUCCCCCAGCCCCACCAGACUGUAAACCAGAGUAAGGGGUGCUGUGAACACCUGCGGGAGAGAGGGGUGCACCUGUCGAUUUAUCUGGGGACGAGAGCUGGCUUGGCUGGACAGCGACCUGAGGACCACCGCCACAAUGACAAGAGGCAGUGUGGUCUACACUGCAGAACUCAAAGGAGCCAACCACGGACCAGGUGUAAGAAAAUGCAGCUGAAAGCACACAUUCAGGAUCCCACCUUCUGUGGCCCCUGGGAGAGGGUGCCACUAGAGGGAUGUGAAAGAGAUGCCUUGUUUCUCUUGCCAACUUUCUUUUGGGAUGUGUCCCGUAAAGCACUGCCUGUCAUACUUUGCUAACGAAAGAUAAUGGACAUCCAGACCUCAAUUAUCCAAAAGUGGAUUAUCCAUUUGGGGGAUUAGCUAAGCAAAAUUAAAACCGCAGACCAGGCUGAGUUCUCCCACCCUGUCCUCCAUUGAUUAUCUCUCAAGGAAUGAAAGCAAACUUUAGCCUGAGCAAACAUAAUUAGGAAUGUAAAUCUGCUGCUGGGAAAACAAAACAAAACAAAACACAAACGCAACAAAAACUAUCACCGUGUUACAAAGCCAAGCUGAAAUGGUGGUUGGCUUCUCUGUGCCAGGAUUGACCCUUUGUGGCUGGAGUACCCAAGGCUUUCUGGAGGAACUGUGAAAGUGCCCAAGUCCGAGUCUAGGCCUGCCAGAAGUUCAGACAACACCGAACAUAAAAGGCCUGGUCACUUAACCCAGGAGAGAAAGGCGAGAAAGGCUGAGGAGAGAGAUGGAUCUCAAAGAAGGGGGUGCCCGGAACCUCCAUGCUGGGGCCACUCAAGAGAAAAACACUUCCUGUCCUGGAGGCAGGGAGAAGGCAGAGGGACCCUGACGGGAUCAGCACCCCAAUCGAUCGCCGGUGGUGCUGGGAACGGCCGCCUCGCCCCCAGCCCUGCGCACAGGCAGCCUGCUAUUGCUGGAAGCACACCUGCCAGGUCCUGGCCCAGCCCCCAGAGAGGUUCAUCACCACUCAACACUGAGCCCCAGCCAGGCUCCCUUCCCUCCCUGCCAGUUUCUCCCUGUCCCAGACUCCCGAAUGCUUUUCUUCCCAAGGGUUGAACAGCUCAGGAAUGGGGCCUCAAUGGUACCACGGGCACCGGUGCACACCUCCUCUUGGUGGCCUUUGAGCCUGGCAGCCUCAGGGGGUAUCUUAAGUAGUCUUUUCCAUAGCCUUGGAAAAGUCUGAGGGCAAUGCACGUGGGCUCAGCACCAUGGGCCUUGCUGGCCCCCUUCUUCUCAAGGGUGUCAGCUCCCUUAUUCGCACUUCAAUUCCUAAUGAGUUAUCCCUCCAGCCCAAACCGCCCCAACCAGCCCCCGAGAAGUGGGGCCACUGGGAGCAAUGGGAGAGGUCUGAGCUGUUCUAGCCUCUCGGCUUCAGGCUGAACUCCAUCUGGGGUCAAUGUCCCAGUCCACAGCACUAACAGAUCGAGCAGCAUUGGGGUAUCUGGGCCAUUUAAGGACACUCAGGCCAAACCCCAAGGAGACUUGCAUGUCACUGCCAAGCCUGAGCCCCCAUGCCCCCACGUUCGGAGGGCCUUUCCCCUCAAGCUGUGGCACCCGUCUCUAUAACUGGCCCCUACUGUCUCCUCUGUGGCAUCAGGAGGGACCGAGAGGUAUGGCCCAUGCCCAACUCUGCCAGGGGCUAAAGGAACCAACUCCCAGAGAGCUGUCUCUUCACCUCUGAUACUUUCAGCAGACACACCAUGCAAAACAGAUGCCCCUGCUGUUACAAAGCCCAGGAACACCUGGCCAGCCAGCUCAGAGCCUGAGAGGCAGCACGUCUUCACCUGCAUCUGCCAGGUCACUGUUAGGGGAGUUCUGGCUGUGGGGCUGGAGGCAGGGCCAGCAGGCUUGUGAGAGUGUGUGUGUCGGAGGGGCAGGGCAGGAGCAGGCUCGUACACCAAGGGACAGUAAUGUCAGUGUUAUGACACAGACCAAGGACAAAACACACAAAGCCUCAAAUGUUAGAAUGAAAACUUUUAUCAUCACUCCUAUUAUCCCCGCA
Balaenoptera acutorostrata (minke whale) is the source of this 12795-nucleotide long non-coding RNA. RefSeq lists it as uncharacterized. The record is from RefSeq and is a predicted model, not a curated record. Lineage: Eukaryota; Metazoa; Chordata; Mammalia; Artiodactyla; Balaenopteridae. The transcript is spliced from 6 exons.